CAGUUUUGGCGGAGCCAUCCUUGGGAUACCACCCUUGUAGUACUGGGACUCUAACCAUAGGCCAUGAAUCUGGUCUUGGGACACUGUCAGGUGGGCAGUUUGACUGGGGCGGUCGCCUCCCAAAAGGUAACGGAGGCGCUCAAAGGUUCUCUCAGUACGGUCGGAAAUCGUACGUAGAGUGUAAAGGCAAAAGAGAGCUUGAUUGCAAGACAUACAGGUCGAGCAAGGAUGAAAAUCGGACUUAGUGAUCCGGUGGUUCUGCGUGGAAGGGCCAUCGCUCAACGGAUAAAAGCUACCCUGGGGAUAACAGGCUUAUCUCCCCCAAGAGUCCACAUCGACGGGGAGGUUUGGCACCUCGAUGUCGGCUCAUCACAUCCUGGGGCUGUAGUAGGUCCCAAGGGUUGGGCUGUUCGCCCAUUAAAGUGGUACGCGAGCUGGGUUCAGAACGUCGUGAGACAGUUCGGUCCCUAUCCGUCGCAGGCGUAGGAAAUUUGAGAAGACCUGUCCUUAGUACGAGAGGACCGGGAUGGACGUACCUCUGGUGUACCAGUUGUCCUGCCAAGGGCAUGGCUGGGUAGCUAUGUACGGAAUGGAUAAGCGCUGAAAGCAUCUAAGCGCGAAGCCAACUUCAAGAUAAGAUUUCCCACCGCAAGGGUAAGACCCCAGAAAGACUAUCUGGUUG
RNAcentral lists this ribosomal RNA (682 nucleotides) under Clostridioides difficile. RNAcentral's name for it is "bacterial LSU rRNA". It matches the Rfam family "Bacterial large subunit ribosomal RNA", at positions 2172 to 2855 of the family's 2925-position model. Lineage: Bacteria; Bacillati; Bacillota; Clostridia; Peptostreptococcales; Peptostreptococcaceae. The record is from RNAcentral.